AGUCAACAUGCCCAGAGGACGUGGAUAACCUCGGGAAACUGAGGAUAAACCGCGAUAGGUCAUAAUAUCUGGAAUGAUUUAUGGUUUAAAUCUAUAUGGCCUCUGGAUUGGACUGCGGCCGAUCAGGCUGUUGGUGAGGUAAUGGCCCACCAAACCUAAAACCGGUACGGGCUCUGAGAGGAGAAGCUCGGAGAUGGGCACUGAGACAAGGGCCCAGGCCCUAUGGGGCGCAGCAGGCGCGAAAACUCUGCAAUAAGCGAAAGCUUGACAGGGUUAUUCUGAGUGAUUUCCGCUAAGGAAAUCUUUUGGCACCUCUAAAAAUGGUGCAGAAUAAGGGGUGGGCAAGCCUGGUGUCAGCCGCCGCGGUAAUACCAGCACCCCGAGUGGUCGGGACGAUUAUUGGGCCUAAAGCAUCCGUAGCCGGUUCUACAAGUCUUCCGUUAAAUCCACCUGCUUAACAGAUGGGCUGCGGAGGAUACUAUGGAGCUAGGAGGCGGGAGAGGCAAGCGGUACUUAGUGGGUAGGGGUAAAAUCCGUUGAUCCAUUGAAGACCACCAGUGGCGAAGGCGGCUUGCCAGAACGCACUCGACGGUGAGGGAUGAAAGCUGGGGGAGCAAACCGG
This 622-nucleotide ribosomal RNA is filed under the name uncultured archaeon. RNAcentral's name for it is "bacterial SSU rRNA". It matches the Rfam family "Archaeal small subunit ribosomal RNA", at positions 102 to 727 of the family's 1478-position model. The record is from RNAcentral.